Artibeus jamaicensis (Jamaican fruit-eating bat) is the source of this 1169-nucleotide long non-coding RNA. RefSeq lists it as uncharacterized. The transcript has 4 exons. The record is from RefSeq and is a predicted model, not a curated record. NCBI's taxonomy places the organism in Eukaryota, Metazoa, Chordata, Mammalia, Chiroptera, Phyllostomidae.
CGCACACACAGACAUGCACACGCGCGCGCACCGCUGCUCUCCCUCCGACACACUGGAGGGAAAGGUCAAACUAAAGGCGAGGGAGCGGGGAGGCCUGAGGAGCUGCCACUGCCGCGCGCCAUGACGGACGUGGCCGAGGCUGCUUUCUUUCCGCCGACGCCGCCGAGCCGUUGCUCUCGUCGCGCCCCCUGCCCCCGCCCCCAUGUCCGUUCUCCCCCUGUCCCCUACCCCCGGCUCUCGCGCGUCCACGCGUCCCCUCCCCCCGUCGCUCCAGGCGCGCGUCGGGCCUGGGGCGCGCGCUGGCGCUGAGCGGGAGCGGGCGUCACAGGGUAGGGGUUGCGGCGGACGAUCGGGCGGCCUCCCCGCGCGACCCCCGACGUCCUCGGCGAGGGCCCGCCAGGAAACCCUAGAAUUGGGCACACCAGCUCUUACUCAGCACAUCCCCCUCCUGUAGGUCUCCUUGACCUUGGUGGCAUCAUGGAGUGCAUUUGGGCUUAUUUGGAAUCAGAAGAGAUGAUGUUGAAUGAAAUACCUGGGGAGUUUUCCUUCUGAAAUCAUUUCGCCUUGGGCGGACGCGUGUCGUCGUCCCCACGAUGCAGUGUGAGCAUCUGCACGGGACGUGUCUGAGCUCGCAGAGGGCGGCGCGACCUCCACACCCCUGGCACUGGAGUCUCCGGCACCGAUCCGUCCCUGGCCUGGAACCGAGAACGGCCUCGGUGCACGUGCAGUGAAGGACCGACUCAGUAGGCCAGCUCUCCGCAUCCUGUGCAUUCCAAAGAGCGGUCUGGCCCUCGACCAAAUGCUCGCUCACCUGGGGCCUUGAGCAACACCGGACAGGUGUGCUGACUGUGGGGUGUGGUGCCGCGCGGGGCCAGCUGGUCCUGGAAGAGCCGAGCACCGAGUGAGGUGGGCCCUCUGGGUGCCCGGGCCCGCGGCCCCAGUAAAACUCUCGGGCGUGCAGUCUCAGGUGAGCCUCCCCGGCUGGCAGCACUCCGUGCGUGUCCCCACACGUGGUCUGGGGAAGAGUUAAAUGACACGUCCUCGUGGAGAGGACGGCCGGAAACUUCUCUCUGCUCUCCCAGACUCUGUCUGUCCUUCCUGUGUGCCUUUCACAUCUGUGGAGUUUACACUGUGUUUGUUUUUGCUACAAUAAAUUGUGACUUGGCAUA